RNAcentral lists this long non-coding RNA (1081 nucleotides) under Rosa chinensis. Its description in RNAcentral is "sRNA RchiOBHm_Chr3g0493721". Lineage: Eukaryota; Viridiplantae; Streptophyta; Magnoliopsida; Rosales; Rosaceae. The record is from RNAcentral.
CGACGACCGUCGGACUAUGCUCGGAGAUCGGCAGGGCGGUGGUUAUUGCUUUGUAUACCGCCAACCUGGGUGUCCAUAGUAUAUCUCUGGGUGGCUGAAAGCCUGAAAUAUUGAAGGGCCGCUCGGAAAAUUGAAGCUCUGCAAGGGGUCGAAGCUCCGGGAGGAUUAAAGCUUCGCUGGGUACUGAAGCUUUGCUGAGAUUGAAACGUAGCUGAGAUUUAAGUUCCGCUGGGGACCGAAUUUCCGCUGGGGAUCGAAGCUUCGCUGAUGGCUGGGAGUGAAGCUUCGCCGCGUGCUGUCGCUGUCCGCUGGGCCUCGUUGGCGGAAGUUGCUGGGUUACCGCUGGGUGGCCGCUGCACAUUCUGGAACUGCAGACAUCGAGGUCGAUGAUGAUGAGUGAACGAGAAUGAGCACGAGAAGCCAUCGAGCCUAGCGGGAGAGUUGCCGCUGACGGGGAUUAAUUAGCGGAGGAAAGUGCCGCUGAUCGUGCUUAGCGGAGGAAGCUCGGGUCAGCGGUGGUGAAGUUUUUGGCCUGCGGAGGAUGACUCGGCGGAGGAGCUUGGUCGGAGGUUGCCAAGCGGAGAUUGUCUUGGUGGGCGGAGGUUUUGCCGCUGGUGCUCAAGAGUCCGGCGGAGACUCAAGAGUCUGGCGGAGACCGGAGGGUCCGGCGGUGGCUGAAGAGUUCGGCGGAUGCUCAAAGUGUGGCGGAGAUUUGGAACUCAGCGGAGCGGAGCUCUUUCCUAGCGGAGGUUUUGCUCGACGGAGGCCUGGCUAGCGGAAGAGUUCAGCGGAGACCCUUCCGGCGAUGAAGCUCAGCGGUGGUCGGUGGAGCGGAGAAGGAUAGUUGGGCGGAGCUCAGAGCUCAGCGGAGAUGGCAAACCUGGAGCUCGGCGGAGACUCGCUUGGCGGAGGCCUGCCGGCGGAUGUGAAGCUCAGCGGUGAACAGUCCAGCGGAGGCUUGGUUUGCUAGUGGAGGAUGCCGGCGGGGGUCCCCUGGCGGACGACUCUCCGGCGGAGGGCCUGGAGCUGCAACCUGGCGGAGGAGUAGGCCAGCGGAGCAUGAAGAUAGUCCGGCGGAGCG